GCCUUCGUGGUGUAGUGGUUAGCAUGCUCGACGCAUAACCGAGAGGACCCUGGUACGAUUCCCGGCGAGGACA
This 73-nucleotide transfer RNA is filed under the name Stegodyphus mimosarum. It matches the Rfam family "tRNA". From Rfam's summary of the family: Transfer RNA (tRNA) molecules are approximately 80 nucleotides in length. Their secondary structure includes four short double-helical elements and three loops (D, anti-codon, and T loops). Further hydrogen bonds mediate the characteristic L-shaped molecular structure. tRNAs have two regions of fundamental functional importance: the anti-codon, which is responsible for specific mRNA codon recognition, and the 3' end, to which the tRNAs corresponding amino acid is attached (by aminoacyl-tRNA synthetases). tRNAs cope with the degeneracy of the genetic code in two manners: having more than one tRNA (with a specific anti-codon) for a particular amino acid; and 'wobble' base-pairing, i.e. permitting non-standard base-pairing at the 3rd anti-codon position. Lineage: Eukaryota; Metazoa; Arthropoda; Arachnida; Araneae; Eresidae. The record is from Rfam by way of RNAcentral.